CGGAGGGUGCAAGCGUUGUUCGGAUUUAUUGGGCGUAAAGCGCGUGUAGGCGGUUUUUUAAGUCUGAUGUGAAAGCCCCGGGCUCAACCCGGGAAGUGCAUUGGAAACUGGGAGACUUGAAUACGGGAGAGGGUAGUGGAAUUCCUAGUGUAGGAGUGAAAUCCGUAGAUAUUAGGAGGAACACCGGUGGCGAAGGCGGCUACCUGGACCGAUAUUGACGCUGUGACGCGAAAGCGUGGGGAGCAAACAGGAUUAGAUACCCUGGUAGUCCACGCCGUAAACGAUGAGAACUAGGUGUUGCGGGUAUUGACCCCUGCAGUGCCGCAGCUAACGCAUUAAGUUCUCCGCCUGGGAAGUACGGUCGCAAGACUA
Molecule: ribosomal RNA, 372 nt
Filed under: uncultured organism
Description: bacterial SSU rRNA
Rfam family: Bacterial small subunit ribosomal RNA
Source: RNAcentral